Molecule: ribosomal RNA, 403 nt
Filed under: bacterium
Lineage: Bacteria
Description: partial 16S ribosomal RNA
Rfam family: Bacterial small subunit ribosomal RNA
Source: RNAcentral
UGGGGAAUAUUGCACAAUGGAGGGAACUCUGAUGCAGCGACGCCGCGUGAACGAAGAAGGCUUCCGAGUCGUAAAGUUCUUUUAUAUGGGAAGAUAAUGACGGUACCAUAAGAAAAAGCCCCGGCUAACUACGUGCCAGCAGCCGCGGUAAUACGUAGGGGGCUAGCGUUGUCCGGAAUCACUGGGCGUAAAGGGUUCGCAGGCGGAAAUGCAAGUCAGGUGUAAAAGGCAGUAGCUUAACUACUGUAAGCAUUUGAAACUGCAUAUCUUGAGAAGAGUAGAGGUAAGUGGAAUUUUUAGUGUAGCGGUGAAAUGCGUAGAUAUUAAAAAGAAUACCGGUGGCGAAGGCGACGUACUGGGCUCAUUCUGACGCUGAGGAACGAAAGCGUGGGUAGCAAACAGG